AAAUGUCUUUGGGGCGGGGUGCAAUUCCCCACCGGCGGUUAUGCGGCCUUUGCGCCGACGAGCCCGCGAGCAGUUUUUGUUGACACGGUGCGAUUCCGUGGCCGACGGUACAGUCCGGAUGAAAAAAGACGCAU
RNAcentral lists this non-coding RNA (134 nucleotides) under Ethanoligenens harbinense. RNAcentral describes it as "FMN sequence". It matches the Rfam family "FMN riboswitch aptamer (RFN element)". Rfam says of the family: The RFN element is a highly conserved domain that is found frequently in the 5'-untranslated regions of prokaryotic mRNAs that encode for flavin mononucleotide (FMN) biosynthesis and transport proteins. This element is a metabolite-dependent riboswitch that directly binds FMN in the absence of proteins. In Bacillus subtilis, the riboswitch most likely controls gene expression by causing premature transcription termination within the 5' untranslated region of the ribDEAHT operon and precluding access to the ribosome-binding site of ypaA mRNA. The record is from RNAcentral. RNAcentral also lists the same sequence under 1 other name. Lineage: Bacteria; Bacillati; Bacillota; Clostridia; Eubacteriales; Oscillospiraceae.